ACUCCGGGAAACCGGGGCUAAUACCGGAUGGUUGUUUGAACCGCAUGGUUCAGACAUAAAAGGUGGCUUCGGCUACCACUUACAGAUGGACCCGCGGCGCAUUAGCUAGUUGGUGAGGUAACGGCUCACCAAGGCAACGAUGCGUAGCCGACCUGAGAGGGUGAUCGGCCACACUGGGACUGAGACACGGCCCAGACUCCUACGGGAGGCAGCAGUAGGGAAUCUUCCGCAAUGGACGAAAGUCUGACGGAGCAACGCCGCGUGAGUGAUGAAGGUUUUCGGAUCGUAAAGCUCUGUUGUUAGGGAAGAACAAGUGCCGUUCAAAUAGGGCGGCACCUUGACGGUACCUAACCAGAAAGCCACGGCUAACUACGUGCCAGCAGCCGCGGUAAUACGUAGGUGGCAAGCGUUGUCCGGAAUUAUUGGGCGUAAAGGGCUCGCAGGCGGUUUCUUAAGUCUGAUGUGAAAGCCCCCGGCUCAUUAGA
Molecule: ribosomal RNA, 485 nt
Filed under: Bacillus subtilis
Lineage: Bacteria; Bacillati; Bacillota; Bacilli; Caryophanales; Bacillaceae
Description: bacterial SSU rRNA
Rfam family: Bacterial small subunit ribosomal RNA
Source: RNAcentral